UACGGAGGGGGCGAGCGUUAUUCGGAAUUAUUGGGCGUAAAGGGCGCGUAGGCGGCCCGUAAGUCAAAGGUGAAAUCCCUCGGCUCAACUGAGGAACUGCCUUUGAAACUGUCGGGCUUGAGGCCGGGAGGGGGUAGCGGAAUUCCCAGUGUAGCGGUGAAAUGCGUAGAUACUGGGAGGAACACCAGUGGCGAAGGCGGCUACCUGGACCGGUUCUGACGCUGAUGCGCGAAAGCGUGGGUAGCAAAAGGG
This 252-nucleotide ribosomal RNA is filed under the name uncultured bacterium. Its description in RNAcentral is "partial 16S ribosomal RNA". It matches the Rfam family "Bacterial small subunit ribosomal RNA", at positions 524 to 776 of the family's 1533-position model. The record is from RNAcentral.